RNAcentral lists this ribosomal RNA (779 nucleotides) under uncultured Lactobacillus sp. RNAcentral describes it as "bacterial SSU rRNA". It matches the Rfam family "Bacterial small subunit ribosomal RNA", at positions 28 to 776 of the family's 1533-position model. The record is from RNAcentral. Lineage: Bacteria; Bacillati; Bacillota; Bacilli; Lactobacillales; Lactobacillaceae.
GACGAACGCUGGCGGCGUGCCUAAUACAUGCAAGUCGAGCGAGCUGAAUUCAAAGAUCCCUUCGGGGUGAUUUGUUGGACGCUAGCGGCGGAUGGGUGAGUAACACGUGGGCAAUCUGCCCUAAAGACUGGGAUACCACUUGGAAACAGGUGCUAAUACCGGAUAACAACAUGAAUCGCAUGAUUCAAGUUUGAAAGGCGGCGUAAGCUGUCACUUUAGGAUGAGCCCGCGGCGCAUUAGCUAGUUGGUGGGGUAAAGGCCUACCAAGGCAAUGAUGCGUAGCCGAGUUGAGAGACUGAUCGGCCACAUUGGGACUGAGACACGGCCCAAACUCCUACGGGAGGCAGCAGUAGGGAAUCUUCCACAAUGGACGCAAGUCUGAUGGAGCAACGCCGCGUGAGUGAAGAAGGUUUUCGGAUCGUAAAGCUCUGUUGUUGGUGAAGAAGGAUAGAGGCAGUAACUGGUCUUUAUUUGACGGUAAUCAACCAGAAAGUCACGGCUAACUACGUGCCAGCAGCCGCGGUAAUACGUAGGUGGCAAGCGUUGUCCGGAUUUAUUGGGCGUAAAGCGAGCGCAGGCGGAAUGAUAAGUCUGAUGUGAAAGCCCACGGCUCAACCGUGGAACUGCAUCGGAAACUGUCAUUCUUGAGUGCAGAAGAGGAGAGUGGAAUUCCAUGUGUAGCGGUGGAAUGCGUAGAUAUAUGGAAGAACACCAGUGGCGAAGGCGGCUCUCUGGUCUGCAACUGACGCUGAGGCUCGAAAGCAUGGGUAGCGAACAGG